Molecule: ribosomal RNA, 447 nt
Filed under: uncultured bacterium
Lineage: Bacteria
Description: bacterial SSU rRNA
Rfam family: Bacterial small subunit ribosomal RNA
Source: RNAcentral
CCAGACUCCUACGGGAGGCAGCAGUGGGGAAUAUUGCGCAAUGGGGGAAACCCUGACGCAGCAACGCCGCGUGAGUGAGGAAGUAUCUCGGUAUGUAAAGCUCUAUCAGCGGGGAAGAAAGAGGACGGUACCCGACUAAGAAGCCCCGGCUAACUACGUGCCAGCAGCCGCGGUAAUACGUAGGGGGCGAGCGUUAUCCGGAUUUACUGGGUGUAAAGGGAGCGUAGACGGCGUCGCAAGUCUGAAGUGAAAGCCCGGGGCUCAACUCCGGGACUGCUUUUGAAACUGUGUGACUGGAGUGCAGGAGAGGUAAGCGGAAUUCCUGGUGUAGCGGUGAAAUGCGUAGAUAUCAGGAGGAACACCAGUGGCGAAGGCGGCUUACUGGACUGUAACUGACGUUGAGGCUCGAAAGCGUGGGGAGCAAACAGGAUUAGAUACCCGCGUACA